GCACACACAGCAAAACCAAGUCCCGGCCAUCCUACCCUGCACAGAGCAGCCUACACAGCUUCUCUUUCACAGACCUGAGCAGGGAGGGGUUGUCCCUGUUGAAGGACAGGGAUUUUAGCAUGAAUAUUGAAUGAGGAAGGCAGCUGGGACACUUGGCUAAUGUAAUAUCUCGACCUCUCGUCUCAUGCUAAAGGGAAUUCGCCCUCCCCUAAUGCAUGUCUGUAAUCGGUCUCAGUCUCUCCAGCAGCACAUUCUACACAGAUCACGCCAGUUCAGGGAGCCUGGAUUUCCCAGCCCUCAGAGGAAAGUAAGGUCCUUCACGCCGACAGAAAGCCACUGGGUAUCGCUGUGAUGUUACCACCGUCUCCUACGCACCCUCUAAGUUCUCUCCAUCUGAGCUCACUGAUGGAUCAGCCUUGCUGAUGUCAUCAGAGUAAUCAUUUACUGCUCUACCGUUCGAUCGGACACAACCAUAUGCAUGAUAUGUAACAUAUACUACGUAUACUACAUCUUUAUUCUACCCUCCGAUGUUUCCCAAUUUGAAAAAAAGAUACUCGGAUUCACUAUCGUGCCUGAGUUUACUUAAACCACUUGGACAGACAGAGGAUUUUUUUUUUUAUCAUGGGGGUGUGUGUUAUCCUAUUUGCUAUGUUUCUAAAAAUCCUUGAAGAUCAAUGUUACCCACUAAUCUAUAUAAAAUUUUGAUGCUAAAUACUUUUCUUCCUGCUAUCAGGAGCAAGACAAGAACAUUGCUUUCUAUAAAUGUGUCAGGAUGGAGAGGAAGCGGUAACACUGUGCUCCUCCAUAGAUCAUGCCCUAUUGCACGGAGGAAAUCUCAAAGAAGCCAUCAGCCUACCUACUCAGGAUCCAAAGACAAGAGUCAAUAGAACAGUAGCAGCAAGAAAGCUACUGUUAAAAGUGGCAGCCGUUAAACACUGCACAACACUGAUGCAAAGAAUGAAAGACAAUCUAAAGGCAAAGAUGACAUUCUGCGUCUAAGAUACUCGCUCCAUAUCUGUGAACUAGAAGCUCACUCUUGCUGUCUUAAGAUAAAAACUGUCCUCACGUGAGAAGUCAACACAUGUCUACCAAAUCCUAACAGCCUCUCCCCUCAACCUCUCCCCUUCUCAACAAGUUUUUCCUAAAUUUUAUACGGAAAUUCAAAGGACCUAGAAAAGCCACCUUUAAAAAUACUAAUUGGUUCAUUAGUUUGUUUAUUUAGGGACAGAGUCUCUCACAUCCUAGGCUGGCCUCAAACUUGAUAUGUAGCCAGGCUAUGUGAUGAAACCCUGCCUCAAAACACCGAAAAAUAAAAUAAAAUAAUUGUGCUAUACGUAGGAUAUUUUUCUUUCCCUAUUGUUGUGGUUUGAAUAAGAAUGGUCUCCAGGGACUCAAAUACUUGGAUGCUUAGUC
This 1413-nucleotide long non-coding RNA is filed under the name Rattus norvegicus (Norway rat). Its description in RNAcentral is "long non-coding RNA NONRATT031949". Lineage: Eukaryota; Metazoa; Chordata; Mammalia; Rodentia; Muridae. The record is from RNAcentral.